Pipistrellus kuhlii (Kuhl's pipistrelle) is the source of this 1209-nucleotide long non-coding RNA. RefSeq lists it as uncharacterized. NCBI's taxonomy places the organism in Eukaryota, Metazoa, Chordata, Mammalia, Chiroptera, Vespertilionidae. The transcript has 2 exons. The record is from RefSeq and is a predicted model, not a curated record.
AGGGAGGGAAGGAGGUAGGAGAGAGAGAGAAGGGAAGAGAAGGUGGAAGAGAGGGAGGAAGGAAGGACCAAGAAGGCUGUGUUUCUUUCCACCUUGAAGCUAAAAUACUCACGUCUGGCCAGGUUGCCAGAAAUGAGAGGCAGCAAUCCCACCUGCAUAUGGAAAACACAGCCAUGAGGUGACCUUGUUCGGGAUUCUACCCUAACCCACAGACAGAUUAGGACUAGACCGUCUAAUUCUCUGCCUAACACACUAAGCCAUUGCCAUUAUCUUGGCAGUGGCUUCCUGCACCCUGUAACCUGGGACGAGGAGCUGCUUGCUAAGCUUGACUGAACUUCUCCCUGGUGCUGCAGCAUUCCCACCUGCGCAUCCCUAACCCAACUACCUCACGUCCGUGGCUCUGGGCAGCAGGUGCCAAGCCUGUGCAGUGGACCCCGUGUCAUCCACACAGAACACAGUGACCUCACUGCUUCCCUCUGGUCCCUCUCCAGAUCCACACUUGUUGUUGUUUUUUUUAAUCAAAGCAUAUGAUUCCUAUGUUUGCCUUGAUCCUGGGAAGCAACCCUCCCAGUGUUCACUGCCCCUCAUGCUGAGAGGAUCCGAGAGGAAAUGUUUGGGCUGGGACCCCACGAGGGACCCCUCCAGAGUAAGUCCCACUAGAAAUCCCAGGAGUGUAGCAAAGCCCCUCAGAAACUAUCUUGUGGGACCUUGAACUUAUUCCCUCCGAGCUGCAGAGAGCUGACCAGGGGAGGAAGACAGCAUAGCCGCAUGUCCGUGCCUGCCUCUUCCUCUGGGCCCCAGAAAGAGGCCGCAGCAAAAGUCAAAUGUGAGGCAGCAAACCUGGCAGGAGACUAGACCAAGGUUCAUCCACAAUCCAUCAUCCCUCCCACUCGCCUUGAACCCAUCAGCGGCGACGUCUUGCCCAGGAACAAAAGGACUACCCAGAGAAGCCCUUUCAACCUCAGUCGUCCUUUGCCCCUUAACUUUUACCCCUUAAAUCAACUACAGCCAUUCCAUUUUCACCGGCACCUUUCCUGAAAGGCGGAACAAUGUGGUCACCUCCUUCCAGAAACUCCUCCUUUCUCUCUCAGCACACUGAGUGACAGAAGCUUGACCUGCCUUCUCGUGAAGUUAGAGGUAGAACUCUUUCUCCAGUCAACCUUUCAUGUGAUUAAACUUCCAGUUUGAACCAAAGAAUUGAGCUCAGAG